This 275-nucleotide ribosomal RNA is filed under the name uncultured bacterium. Its description in RNAcentral is "partial 16S ribosomal RNA". It matches the Rfam family "Bacterial small subunit ribosomal RNA", at positions 399 to 691 of the family's 1533-position model. The record is from RNAcentral.
GCGUGAGUGAUGAAGGCCUUAGGGUUGUAAAGCUCUUUUGGCGGGGACGAUAAUGACGGUACCCGCAGAAUAAGCCCCGGCUAACUUCGUGCCAGCAGCCGCGGUAAUACGAAGGGGGCUAGCGUUGUUCGGAAUCACUGGGCGUAAAGCGCACGUAGGCGGACUUUCAAGUCAGGGGUGAAAUCCCGGGGCUCAACCUCGGAACUGCCUUUGAUACUGUUGGUCUUGAGUCCGGAAGAGGUGGGUGGAAUUCCUAGUGUAGAGGUGAAAUUCGU